Molecule: long non-coding RNA, 484 nt
Organism: Corythoichthys intestinalis (scribbled pipefish)
Lineage: Eukaryota; Metazoa; Chordata; Actinopteri; Syngnathiformes; Syngnathidae
Exons: 3
Source: RefSeq, a predicted model, not a curated record
AUGAAGAACGAGGAACGAUAUAAAAUGUGGUUACUCUGCUGGAUAUGACAUACACACACACCGGUGGAAAAGUACUGCUUUGGAGUAUUUGCAGCGCCCAUUUUCAUCGGUAUCCUCUCCUGUUACCCAAUUGCUGUGCCUUCGAGUGUCCAAACGUCUUCAAGAGCUUCCGAUAAACAGGUGACCUGGAGAUGCUUUAUGUACACCCAGAAGAGGCUCCACUUUGUUUUCAACUCCAUGAAGGCAAGGGCGCCAGCAAGCGAGGAAUGCUGAUGGGACUUCGAGAUACAGCUUGGAGUUUCCAACGCAAACAAAAAGAUGGGUUAUCCGGAGGAGUUACGAGCCAACAACGCAGACAUUCUGACAGAAUUUGGUGGCGCAUGUCCUGGAAAGACUGCAGGGUUCAUCAGUGAAGUUUGCUGAUCCAGACUUUUAUUUCAAGCCUCCAACUACAAUUCCCCAGGCAUCAAAAGGCCUGAUAAAG